CCAGACUCCUACGGGAGGCAGCAGUGGGGAAUAUUGGACAAUGGGGGGAACCCUGAUCCAGCGACGCCGCGUGAGUGAAGAAGUAUUUCGGUAUGUAAAGCUCUAUCAGCAGGGAAGAAAGAAAUGACGGUACCUGACUAAGAAGCCCCGGCUAACUACGUGCCAGCAGCCGCGGUAAUACGUAGGGGGCAAGCGUUAUCCGGAUUUACUGGGUGUAAAGGGGGCGCAGACGGCGAUGCAAGCCAGGAGUGAAAGCCCGGGGCCCAACCCCGGGACUGCUCUUGGAACUGCGUGGCUGGAGUGCAGGAGGGGCAGGCGGAAUUCCUGGUGUAGCGGUGAAAUGCGUAGAUAUCAGGAGGAACACCGGUGGCGAAGGCGGCUUACUGGACUGUAACUGACGUUGAGGCUCGAAAGCGUGGGGAGCAAACAGGAUUAGAUACCCGUGUA
RNAcentral lists this ribosomal RNA (447 nucleotides) under uncultured bacterium. Its description in RNAcentral is "bacterial SSU rRNA". It matches the Rfam family "Bacterial small subunit ribosomal RNA", at positions 331 to 792 of the family's 1533-position model. The record is from RNAcentral.